This 178-nucleotide ribosomal RNA is filed under the name uncultured anaerobic bacterium. RNAcentral describes it as "partial 16S ribosomal RNA". It matches the Rfam family "Bacterial small subunit ribosomal RNA", at positions 354 to 528 of the family's 1533-position model. The record is from RNAcentral.
UGUAGGAAUAUUGGUCAAUGGGCGAGAGCCUGAACCAGCCAUCCGCGUGCAGGAUGACGCGCCCUACGGUUUGUAAACUGCUUUUAUGUACCAAGAAUAGGCGCUACGUGUAGCGUUAUGACGGUAGUACAUGAAUAAGCAUCGCCUAACUCCAUGCCAAGCAGCCGCGGUAAUAAAA